RNAcentral lists this ribosomal RNA (2175 nucleotides) under Salmonella enterica. RNAcentral describes it as "bacterial LSU rRNA". It matches the Rfam family "Bacterial large subunit ribosomal RNA", at positions 657 to 2812 of the family's 2925-position model. The record is from RNAcentral. Lineage: Bacteria; Pseudomonadati; Pseudomonadota; Gammaproteobacteria; Enterobacterales; Enterobacteriaceae.
AUAGGGGAGCCGGAGGGAAACCGAGUCUUAAUUGGGCGUUAAGUUGCAGGGUAUAGACCCGAAACCCGGUGAUCUAGCCAUGGGCAGGUUGAAGGUUGGGUAACACUAACUGGAGGACCGAACCGACUAAUGUUGAAAAAUUAGCGGAUGACCUGUGGCUGGGGGUGAAAGGCCAAUCAAACCGGGAGAUAGCUGGUUCUCCCCGAAAGCUAUUUAGGUAGCGCCUCGUGAAUUCAUCUCCGGGGGUAGAGCACUGUUUCGGCUAGGGGGCCAUCCCGGCUUACCAACCCGAUGCAAACUGCGAAUACCGGAGAAUGUUAUCACGGGAGACACACGGCGGGUGCUAACGUCCGUCGUGAAGAGGGAAACAACCCAGACCGCCAGCUAAGGUCCCAAAGUCAUGGUUAAGUGGGAAACGAUGUGGGAAGGCCCAGACAGCCAGGAUGUUGGCUUAGAAGCAGCCAUCAUUUAAAGAAAGCGUAAUAGCUCACUGGUCGAGUCGGCCUGCGCGGAAGAUGUAACGGGGCUAAACCAUGCACCGAAGCUGCGGCAGCGACGCUGAUGCGUUGUUGGGUAGGGGAGCGUUCUGUAAGCCUGCGAAGGUGGCCUGUGAGGGUUGCUGGAGGUAUCAGAAGUGCGAAUGCUGACAUAAGUAACGAUAAAGCGGGUGAAAAGCCCGCUCGCCGGAAGACCAAGGGUUCCUGUCCAACGUUAAUCGGGGCAGGGUGAGUCGACCCCUAAGGCGAGGCCGAAAGGCGUAGUCGAUGGGAAACGGGUUAAUAUUCCCGUACUUGGUGUUACUGCGAAGGGGGGACGGAGAAGGCUAUGUUGGCCGGGCGACGGUUGUCCCGGUUUAAGCGUGUAGGUGUGUGUUCCAGGUAAAUCCGGUUCACUUUAACACUGAGGCGUGAUGACGAGGCACUACGGUGCUGAAGCAACAAAUGCCCUGCUUCCAGGAAAAGCCUCUAAGCAUCAGGUAACAUCAAAUCGUACCCCAAACCGACACAGGUGGUCAGGUAGAGAAUACCAAGGCGCUUGAGAGAACUCGGGUGAAGGAACUAGGCAAAAUGGUGCCGUAACUUCGGGAGAAGGCACGCUGACACGUAGGUGAAGUGAUUUACUCAUGGAGCUGAAGUCAGUCGAAGAUACCAGCUGGCUGCAACUGUUUAUUAAAAACACAGCACUGUGCAAACACGAAAGUGGACGUAUACGGUGUGACGCCUGCCCGGUGCCGGAAGGUUAAUUGAUGGGGUCAGCGCAAGCGAAGCUCCUGAUCGAAGCCCCGGUAAACGGCGGCCGUAACUAUAACGGUCCUAAGGUAGCGAAAUUCCUUGUCGGGUAAGUUCCGACCUGCACGAAUGGCGUAAUGAUGGCCAGGCUGUCUCCACCCGAGACUCAGUGAAAUUGAACUCGCUGUGAAGAUGCAGUGUACCCGCGGCAAGACGGAAAGACCCCGUGAACCUUUACUAUAGCUUGACACUGAACAUUGAGCCUUGAUGUGUAGGAUAGGUGGGAGGCUUUGAAGUGUGGACGCCAGUCUGCAUGGAGCCGGCCUUGAAAUACCACCCUUUAAUGUUUGAUGUUCUAACGUGGACCCGUGAUCCGGGUUGCGGACAGUGUCUGGUGGGUAGUUUGACUGGGGCGGUCUCCUCCUAAAGAGUAACGGAGGAGCACGAAGGUUGGCUAAUCCUGGUCGGACAUCAGGAGGUUAGUGCAAUGGCAUAAGCCAGCUUGACUGCGAGCGUGACGGCGCGAGCAGGUGCGAAAGCAGGUCAUAGUGAUCCGGUGGUUCUGAAUGGAAGGGCCAUCGCUCAACGGAUAAAAGGUACUCCGGGGAUAACAGGCUGAUACCGCCCAAGAGUUCAUAUCGACGGCGGUGUUUGGCACCUCGAUGUCGGCUCAUCACAUCCUGGGGCUGAAGUAGGUCCCAAGGGUAUGGCUGUUCGCCAUUUAAAGUGGUACGCGAGCUGGGUUUAGAACGUCGUGAGACAGUUCGGUCCCUAUCUGCCGUGGGCGCUGGAGAACUGAGGGGGGCUGCUCCUAGUACGAGAGGACCGGAGUGGACGCAUCACUGGUGUUCGGGUUGUCAUGCCAAUGGCACUGCCCGGUAGCUAAAUGCGGAAGAGAUAAGUGCUGAAAGCAUCUAAGCACGAAACUUGCCCCGAGAUGAGUUCU